Molecule: ribosomal RNA, 428 nt
Filed under: uncultured bacterium
Lineage: Bacteria
Description: bacterial SSU rRNA
Rfam family: Bacterial small subunit ribosomal RNA
Source: RNAcentral
UGGGGAAUUUUGGACAAUGGGCGCAAGCCUGAUCCAGCCAUUCCGCGUGCAGGAUGAAGGCCUUCGGGUUGUAAACUGCUUUUGUACGGAACGAAAAGGUCUUGGUUAAUACCUGGGGCUCAUGACGGUACCGUAAGAAUAAGCACCGGCUAACUACGUGCCAGCAGCCGCGGUAAUACGUAGGGUGCAAGCGUUAAUCGGAAUUACUGGGCGUAAAGCGUGCGCAGGCGGUUUUGUAAGACAGAUGUGAAAUCCCCGGGCUCAACCUGGGAACUGCAUUUGUGACUGCAAAGCUAGAGUGCGGCAGAGGGGGAUGGAAUUCCGCGUGUAGCAGUGAAAUGCGUAGAUAUGCGGAGGAACACCGAUGGCGAAGGCAAUCCCCUGGGCCUGCACUGACGCUCAUGCACGAAAGCGUGGGGAGCAAACAG